GUCGCGCGCUCUCUCAUCUCUCUGGGUAACUUCCUCUUAUCUCUUCGUUUCUUUAUCUCCUCUUUUGAUUUAUUUGAAACUCAUAUAUUCUUAUCUCCUCAUCUCCACUAAGCUUAGAAAUCUCUUCAAUCUACACAAAGGGCUGGUUCAAUUUUUGGAAUGAUAUAAGGGUAUUGGUUUAGUUUUUUGUUUUCUGGCUUUUCAGAUCGAGGAGAGCUUUUGCAAAGGAUUGGGUUUCACUUUAAAGCUAAUGGGUUAUGAAUUUUCACCUCUAUUGAUUCUGGUGUUCAUGGGUGAAGAUUCUCAAUUGAUCAAUAAAAGGUGUAUAUAGUGCUAAAAUCGGAUCAAGUAUGCUCUCAAUAAAAUACAGCAGCCCUUUUGUAUGUUAAAUUUAACUUGAUUUGUUUUUGUCAUUGUCAUUAUCGUUGUUAUUGAGUUUAGUUGCAGUAAAUUUGCUAAUGCAUGCAUUGUGGCACCUUGAAUUUCUUUCUAGAUUCAUAUGAAGUUCUGACUUUUAUUUUUUCUUAGAAUAAGUUUUUCUUACUCUUUAUUUUGUGUGUUGUUCCGGGAGAAUUAUUAUUCUACCUUUGUAUGUGUCUUACCUUUAUUAGGUUUCUUGUUAGAGAUAGUUUCACAUCUCUGUAAUAGAUUAGGACUCCGGAUCCUACGAGAUUGUAAUUAUGUGAUGCCUAUAUAUAGGCCUCAUUAUCAAUCAAUAAAGUGUUAUGUUAUGUUC
Molecule: long non-coding RNA, 736 nt
Organism: Argentina anserina (silverweed cinquefoil)
Lineage: Eukaryota; Viridiplantae; Streptophyta; Magnoliopsida; Rosales; Rosaceae
Exons: 2
Source: RefSeq, a predicted model, not a curated record